This 253-nucleotide ribosomal RNA is filed under the name uncultured bacterium. RNAcentral describes it as "partial 16S ribosomal RNA". It matches the Rfam family "Bacterial small subunit ribosomal RNA", at positions 524 to 776 of the family's 1533-position model. The record is from RNAcentral.
UACGUAGGGUGCAAGCGUUGUCCGGAAUUAUUGGGCGUAAAGAGCUCGUAGGCGGCUUGUUGCGUCAGCUGUGAAAACCCGCAGCUCAACUGUGGGCUUGCAGCUGAUACGGGCAGGCUUGAGUUCGGUAGGGGAGACUGGAAUUCCUGGUGUAGCGGUGAAAUGCGCAGAUAUCAGGAGGAACACCGGUGGCGAAGGCGGGUCUCUGGGCCGAAACUGACGCUGAGGAGCGAAAGCGUGGGGAGCGAACAGG